UAGCGUAGGGGGCAAGCGUUGUCCGGAAUCAUUGGGCGUAAAGCGCGUGUAGGCGGCUCGAUAAGUCUGCUGUGAAAAGUUCAGGGCUCAACCCUGAAAUGCCGGUGGAAACUGUCGAGCUAGAGUCCGGAAGAAGGCGAGUGGAAUUCCUGGUGUAGCGGUGAAAUGCGCAGAUAUCAAGAGGAACACCAAUGGCGAAGGCAGCUCGCUGGGACGGUACUGAACGCUGGAGGAGCGAAAGCGUGGGAGCGAACAGG
Molecule: ribosomal RNA, 257 nt
Filed under: uncultured bacterium
Lineage: Bacteria
Description: partial 16S ribosomal RNA
Rfam family: Bacterial small subunit ribosomal RNA
Source: RNAcentral